AUGUCGGGCACUCUAAGGAGACUGCCGGUGACAAACCGGAGGAAGGUGGGGAUGACGUCAAGUCAUCAUGGCCCUUACGGCCUGGGCUACACACGUGCUACAAUGGUCGGUACAAAGGGUUGCCAAGCCGCGAGGUGGAGCUAAUCCCAUAAAACCGAUCGUAGUCCGGAUCGCAGUCUGCAACUCGACUGCGUGAAGUCGGAAUCGCUAGUAAUCGUGAAUCAGAAUGUCACGGUGAAUACGUUCCCGGGCCUU
RNAcentral lists this ribosomal RNA (255 nucleotides) under uncultured Pseudomonas sp. Its description in RNAcentral is "partial 16S ribosomal RNA". It matches the Rfam family "Bacterial small subunit ribosomal RNA", at positions 1128 to 1382 of the family's 1533-position model. Lineage: Bacteria; Pseudomonadati; Pseudomonadota; Gammaproteobacteria; Pseudomonadales; Pseudomonadaceae. The record is from RNAcentral.